GUAGGUGGCAAGCGUUGUCCGGAAUUAUUGGGCGUAAAGCGCACGCAGGCGGUUCUUUAAGUCUGAUGUGAAAGCCCACGGCUCAACCGUGGAGGGUCAUUGGAAACUGGAGAACUUGAGUACAGAAGAGGAAAGCGGAAUUCCACGUGUAGCGGUGAAAUGCGUAGAGAUGUGGAGGAACACCAGUGGCGAAGGCGGCUUUCUGGUCUGUAACUGACGCUGAGGCGCGAAAGCGUGGGGAGCAAACAGGGAUUAGAUACCCUGGUAGUCCACGCCGUAAACGAUGAGUGCUAAGUGUUAGGGGGGUUUCCGCCCCCCUUAGUGCUGCAGCUAACGCAUUAAGCACUCCGCCUGGGGAGUACGGCCGCAAGGCUG
This 375-nucleotide ribosomal RNA is filed under the name uncultured organism. RNAcentral describes it as "partial 16S ribosomal RNA". It matches the Rfam family "Bacterial small subunit ribosomal RNA", at positions 527 to 896 of the family's 1533-position model. The record is from RNAcentral.